This 497-nucleotide ribosomal RNA is filed under the name uncultured bacterium. RNAcentral describes it as "partial 16S ribosomal RNA". It matches the Rfam family "Bacterial small subunit ribosomal RNA", at positions 28 to 507 of the family's 1533-position model. The record is from RNAcentral.
GAUGAACGCUGGCGGCGUGCCUAAUACAUGCAAGUCGAGCGAACAGACGAGGAGCUUGCUCCUCUGACGUUGGCGGCGGACGGGUGAGUAACACGUGGAUAACCUACCUAUAAGACAGGGAUAACUUCGGGAAACCGGAGCUAAUACCGGAUAAUAUAUUGAUCCGCAUGGUUGAAUAGUGGAGGACGGUUUUGCUGUCACUUCUAGAUGGAUCCGCGCCGCAUUAGCUAGUGGGUAAGGUAACGGCUUACCAAGGCGACGAUGCGUAGCCGACCUGAGAGGGUGAUCGGCAACACUGGAACUGAGAAACGGUCAAGCCUCCUACGGGAGGCAGCAGUAGGGAAUCUUCCGCAAUGGGCGAAAGCCUAACGGAGCAACGCCGCGUGAGUGAUGAAGGUCUUCGGAUCGUAAAACUCUGUUAUUAGGGAAGACCAAAUAUGUAAGUACCUAUGCACGUCUUGACGGUACCUAAUCAGAAAGCCACGGCUAACUCCGUG